CUGGGGAGGUUACAAACUGUGGUGAAGGCGGCACCAGUAACAACUCCCAGGACCACCAAUAUGACAUUCUUGGUUUCUAUGGUUUCCUUUAUUACGUGUGCUCCCACAGGCAAUGACCGUCCUUCAAGGGCACCGGCUUCACGCAGGAUGCGGCCAAUGUCCUGUGUAGUAAUAUUCCCGCAACUUUGGUAGCACAGAUCCAGGGCUGUCAGUCCCUUCUUGUUCAAGGAGUUCACUCGCACCAAAGCUCUACUUGUAGAGUUCAGAGGAAGCAACAACUUCACAAUCUGUAGAAUU
This 297-nucleotide unclassified non-coding RNA is filed under the name Hevea brasiliensis (rubber tree). Lineage: Eukaryota; Viridiplantae; Streptophyta; Magnoliopsida; Malpighiales; Euphorbiaceae. The record is from RNAcentral.